UUGGGUUAAAUCCGAGUGUAAGGCGCAGAGAUCGCGCCCCCCUCGCAAGAGGCACAAAGGAAGGUGCUGCAUGGCUGUCGUCAGCUCGUGUCGUGAGAUGUUGGGUUAAGUCCCGNAACGAGCGCAACCCUUACCAUUAGUUACCAUCAUUCAGUUGGGGACUCUAAUGGAACUGCCGGUGAUAAACCGGAGGAAGGUGGGGAUGACGUCAAGUCAUCAUGGCCUUUAUGUCCAGGGCUACACACGUGCUACAAUGGACGGUACAAACCGCCGCAAACUCGCGAGAGGGAGCCAAUCGGAAAAAACCGUUCUCAGUUCGGAUUGUAGUCUGCAACUCGACUACAUGAAGUUGGAAUCGCUAGUAAUCGCAGAUCAGCACGCUGCGGUGAAUACGUUCCCAGGUCUUGUACACACCGCCCGUCACAUCACGAAAGUGGGCUGUACUAGAAGUGGCCGAGCUAACCCGCAAGGGGGGCAGGUUACGACGGUAUGGUUCAUGAUUGGGGUGAAGUCGUAACAAGGUAAGCGUAGUGCU
Molecule: ribosomal RNA, 535 nt
Filed under: uncultured bacterium
Lineage: Bacteria
Description: bacterial SSU rRNA
Rfam family: Bacterial small subunit ribosomal RNA
Source: RNAcentral